UCUGGUGGUCAUAGCGUAGAGGUCACACCUGUUCCCAUACCGAACACAGAAGUUAAGCUCUACAGCGUCGACGAUAUUGCAUUGUGAGAAAAUAGAACGCUGCCAGUU
This is a ribosomal RNA of Mesoplasma florum L1, 108 nucleotides long. The record is from Rfam. NCBI's taxonomy places the organism in Bacteria, Bacillati, Mycoplasmatota, Mollicutes, Entomoplasmatales, Entomoplasmataceae.